Small nuclear RNA from Peromyscus californicus insignis, 104 nucleotides. The record is from RefSeq and is a predicted model, not a curated record. NCBI's taxonomy places the organism in Eukaryota, Metazoa, Chordata, Mammalia, Rodentia, Cricetidae.
ACUCUCACUUCAGCAACAUGUAUAAUAAGAUUGGAACAAUAAAGAGAUUAACACAGCCCCUGUGCAAGGAUGGCACACAUAUCUGUGAAGCAUUUCAUGUCAAA